Molecule: long non-coding RNA, 1789 nt
Organism: Callithrix jacchus (white-tufted-ear marmoset)
Lineage: Eukaryota; Metazoa; Chordata; Mammalia; Primates; Cebidae
Source: Ensembl
CUCACUUUUGCCCCUGACUGUAUCUGACUCCCAGCCUCCUCUCUGUCUCUCUCUCUCUGUCUCUCUCUCUCUCUCUGUCUCUCUCUCUCUGUCUCCCUCUCUCUUCUACUCCAUUCCCUAUCUCUGCCUGCUUUCUCUGUGGGGUACCCACUCUGACUGGUUUCCUCUCUGUCACUCUCUCUCAACUCUGAGGUAUGGGACACAUAUCCAUGGCUCUUUACCACAGACAUUUGGGGCUCUCAAAGAUGAGAACAUCCAGCUGGAAAUGCCUCAGAGACCACCUUGUUCCACCAAUGGCCAGUCAAGGCCAGACGCACCUGAGAUCACUCAACAGCAUCAAACCCGAUAAGCCAGGGUUUCCCCGAACGCAAGCACACCCAAGUAGGACCAGGACAUCUUCUCUGCCAGACCCCAGGCUGGGGACAGCACACGAAGAUGAACCGGCCAUGAUCUCCAUCCUCUGGAAGCUCAGCUCAGGCCAACUAACAUUGAUUGAGCACCUUCUGUGUGUGGUGCUGGGGGUAGCACCACACUACUCAGAACUACUUAGAACCCAGCACUUCUCCACUAGGCACCGUCAUCGCCUGCUGGGACUGGUGCAGUAGCCUCCUCACAGGACUCCCUGCUUCUGUCCUCGCCCCAAGCCUUACAAUCCAUUCUGCAAAUGGAGCUCAGCAGGGUCUCUACAAAUGAUAAAUCAGAUCACGUCUCGGCUGCUCGAAACCCUCCACUCACCCUGACAUAAAAAUGAAAACUUACCUUCAGAGUGGAGAGAUCUGGGGAGUCACCACCUGACCAAUCUGAAAUCACUGGGACCACCUGACAUUUUGGGCCUCCUGGUGGCAUGAGAUAUAAGGAAGACAGCCCCACUUGGGCUCAACUUAUUCAAGGCAUUUCUCUUUACUAGGGAGGCGGAACCCAUUAAAUGUCCCCGUAAGGAGACCAUCAGAUACCACAACUGUCCUGGACUCUUCAUAAGAGUCACAAUUGCCAAACACACCCCAAAUGGCCCUCAAUGGGAGAAUGGGUAAACUGUGGCUUCUCCACACAGUGCCUACAGUUCAGCUCAAAAGGCUACAGGACACACGUGUAAUGUGAAGCACUCACUUUGUGCUGAGCAAAAGAGGCCUUGGACACAGCAUACACACUGCAUGUUCCUUUUCCCUGAAGUUCUAGGACAGUCUAAGCCAAUCUGUGCUGAAAGAAGUGAGGAUCUGUGAGUGCCUCAUGCGGGGCAGGGAUUGCCUGGCAGGAGGCAGAGGGACCUCCCGGGAGUCUCAAAUGUUCUGUAUCUUCAUCUGGGAGAUCACACAUGUACAAGUUCCCAAGCUGCUCAUUGAAGACUUGUUUCCUAUAUGUCUGGCACAUCUCAAUAUUUUUUAAAAAUAAUAAAAUAAAUAAGCCUUUUUGUUUUGUUUUGUUUUGUUUUUUGAGACUGAGUCUCGCUCUGUCACCCAGGCUGGUGCGAUCUUGGCUCACUGCAACCUCUGCCUCCUGGGUUCAAGCAAUUCUCCUGUCUCAGCCUCCUGAGUUGCUGGGAUUACAGGCACACAUCACCACAUCCGGCUAAUUUUUGUAUUUUUAGUAGAGACAGAGUUUCACCAUGUUGGUCAGGCUGGUCUCAAACUCCUGACCUUGCGAUUUGCCUGCUUUCACCUCCCAAAGUGCUUGGAUUACAGGUGUGAGCCACCAUGCCCAGACAUAAAUAAGCUUUUUAAAAAGUCGAUGUGAGGGCCAGGUGCAGUGGUUCAUUGGAGGCUGAGGCAGGAAGAUCACCUGAGCCCAGUGA